UACGGGGGGGGCAAGCGUUGUUCGGAAUUACUGGGCGUAAAGGGCUCGUAGGCGGCCAACUAAGUCAGACGUGAAAUCCCUCGGCUUAACCGGGGAAUUGCGUCUGAUACUGGAUGGCUCGAGUUUGGGAGAGGGAUGCGGAAUUCCAGGUGUAGCGGUGAAAUGCGUAGAUAUCUGGAGGAACACCGGUGGCGAAGGCGGCAUCCUGGACCAAUACUGACGCUGAGGAGCGAAAGCCAGGGGAGCAAACGGG
RNAcentral lists this ribosomal RNA (253 nucleotides) under uncultured bacterium. RNAcentral's name for it is "partial 16S ribosomal RNA". It matches the Rfam family "Bacterial small subunit ribosomal RNA", at positions 524 to 776 of the family's 1533-position model. The record is from RNAcentral.